GAUGAACGCUGGCGGCGUGCCUAAUACAUGCAAGUCGAGCGAACAGAUAAGCAUCUUUCUCUUUUGACGUUAGCGGCGGACGCGUGAGUAACACGUACGUAACCUACCUAUAAGACAGGGGUAACUUCGGGAAACAGGAACUAAUACCGGAUAAUAUUUCGAACCGUACGGUUCGAUAGUGAUAUAAGGUAUUGCUAUCACUCAUAGGUGGUCCCGCGCCGUAUUAUCUAGUCGGUAUGGCAACGGCUUACCAAGGCGACGAUACGGAGCCGACGUGAGAGGGUGAUCGGCCACACUGGAACUGAGACACGGUCCAGACUCCUACGGGAGGCAGCAGUAGGGAAUCUUCCGCUAUGGGCGAAAGCCUGACGGAGCACCGCCGCGUGAGUGAUGAAGGUCUUCGGAUCGUAAAACUCUGUUAUUAGGGAAGAACAUAAGUGUAAGUAACUGGGCACGUCUUGACGGUACCUAAUCAGAAAGCCACGGCUAACUCCGUG
Molecule: ribosomal RNA, 497 nt
Filed under: uncultured bacterium
Lineage: Bacteria
Description: partial 16S ribosomal RNA
Rfam family: Bacterial small subunit ribosomal RNA
Source: RNAcentral